RNAcentral lists this transfer RNA (70 nucleotides) under Phrynosoma platyrhinos (Desert horned lizard). Its description in RNAcentral is "tRNA-OTHER". Lineage: Eukaryota; Metazoa; Chordata; Lepidosauria; Squamata; Phrynosomatidae. The record is from RNAcentral.
GUAUGUGGUGUAGUGGUUUGAGUGUUAGACUAUGACUCUGGAAACCAGGGUUUGAUUCCCAGCUCAGCCA